This 819-nucleotide ribosomal RNA is filed under the name Melanophora roralis. RNAcentral's name for it is "eukaryotic LSU rRNA". It matches the Rfam family "Eukaryotic large subunit ribosomal RNA", at positions 150 to 803 of the family's 3401-position model. The record is from RNAcentral. Lineage: Eukaryota; Metazoa; Arthropoda; Insecta; Diptera; Rhinophoridae.
GUAUGGAAUGUCAAUUUCUAGUAUGAGAAAUUAAUGAUUUAAGUCCUUCUUAAAUGAGGCCAUUUACCCAAAGAGGGUGCCAGGCCCGUAUAACAUUAAUGAUUAUUAGAUGACAUUUCCAAAGAGUCGUGUUGCUUGAUAGUGCAGCACUAAGUGGGUGGUAAACUCCAUCUAAAACUAAAUAUAACCAUGAGACCGAUAGUAAACAAGUACCGUGAGGGAAAGUUGAAAAGAACUCUGAAUAGAGAGUUAAAUAGUACGUGAAACUGCUUAGAGGUUAAGCCCGAUGAACCUGAAUAUCUAUUAUGGAAAAUUCAUCAUUAUGAUUUUAAUAUUUGUAAUAUUAUAAUAAUGGUGUGCAUUUUUUCCAUAAAAGACAUUGUAAUCUAUUAAUAUAAAAGAAUAUAUAAUUUAUCAUAAGUUCAUUAUGCAAUUAGUUUAUUCAAAUUAUUUUGCUUGCAAUUUAAUAUAGAAUAAAUGCUUAUGAUCUGAUAAAGUAUUGAUAGAUUUAUUAUAUAUAGUGCUUAAAUACAUAAUAUAUUUUAUAAAAGCAUAUUAAUUAAUAAUUUUUAUGUUUAUUAUAUGCACUUAUAUGAUUUACAAUGCGAAAGAUUCAGGAUACCUUCGGGACCCGUCUUGAAACACGGACCAAGGAGUCUAACAUAUUUGCAAGUUAUUGGGAAAAAAAACCUAAUAGCGAAAUUAACAUAACUUAAAAAUAUUAUUUAUGGGAUUAGUUUUUAGUCUAUUAAUUAUAAUGGUCUAUUAAUUCAAUCCCGGGGCGUUCUAUACAGUUAUGUAUAAUAGUAUUUAUAUUAU